This 1261-nucleotide long non-coding RNA is filed under the name Nicotiana benthamiana. RNAcentral describes it as "long non-coding RNA (NBEN_LNC035076)". Lineage: Eukaryota; Viridiplantae; Streptophyta; Magnoliopsida; Solanales; Solanaceae. The record is from RNAcentral.
GGUGCCUAAUCUGGAGGAGCUGGCAUGCAUUAUGGGAUGUAGCAUUGGGACUAUAACUACAACAUACUUGGGCCUACCAUUGGGAGCUAAGUUAAAAAACAUCGAGGUAUGGAAUGAGAUCAUUGAAAAAUUUGAGAAGAGACUAACCUCCUGGCAACUUCAAUAUGUAUCCAUAGGUGGCAAAUUAACUCUCAUCAACAGUGUGCUCGACAGCAUCCCAACAUACUUCAUGUCACUGUUUCCCAUUCCAAAGAAAGUUCUAAAUCAAUUGGAUAGAAUCAGGAGAAAUUUCUUAUGGGAGUGAAAUAGCAAGACCCACAAAUUUUAUCUGAUAAAGUGGGACAAAGUCAGUAAGCCGAAAUGCAAUGGAGGAUUGGGAGUCACAGAUCUAGCAGCACACAAUAAAUGCCUACUAAUGAAGUGGCUUUGGAGAUUUGGCACGGGAGAAUCAAGCCUAUGGAAGGAAGUGAUCACGGCCAAGCAUGGGAAAAGAGAUAACUGGAGCACUAAAAGUUCUAAUGCAUCUUAUGGUGUGGGUCCUUGGAAGUACAUCAGUAAAUUGGGGAGUGAAUUUUUUCAGCGCAUCAAUUCAAACCAGGCAAUAGGGCUCACAUAAGAUUCUGGAAAGAUAAAUGGCUAGAGAACUCUUAACUCAUGGAUGAGUUUCCUAGCCUAUAUCAGAUUGCUCUACACCAGAAUUCCUCUAUAGCUCAAAACAGAAAUGGUAGCAACUGGGAUGUUCACUUUAGAAGAGCAGUGCAAGACUGGAAAAUUGAUAGCCUAUUUGAUUUGCUAGCAAAAGUGGAGGGAUACAAUAUUGAUGUGAGCCAACCUGAUAUUGCAAGACUGGGAAAUUGAUAGCCUAUUUGAUUUGCUAGCAAAAGUGGAGGGGUACAAUAUUGAUGUGAGCCAACCAGAUACCAUAUGCUGGGGAAGCAAGGGCACCAUCAUAGUAAAAGAAUGCUACAGGCAAACUGAUUCUCAGAACCAGGUGGUAGAUGCGUGGCCCUGGAAGUUAAUAUGGAAGACCAAACUGCCUAUCAAAGUCAUUUGCCACAACUGGAUUGCCAUCAACGAGGCCUGCUUAACUCAAAACAACCUCAACAGAAAAGGUUUCCAGCUGGUCAACAAAUGUUACCUAUGUUUGAGAGAUGCAGAAACUGUCAACCAUUUGUUUUUGCAUUGCCCGAAUGCUUUUGACCUUUGGAAUAUGUUCCUUUGCAUUUUUGGCUUGAUUUGGGUCAUGCCACAGAAUAUGAAA